GUGGGGAAUUUUGGACAAUGGGGGCAACCCUGAUCCAGCAAUGCCGCGUGCAGGAAGAAGGCCUUCGGGUUGUAAACUGCUUUUGUACGGAACGAAAAGGCUCUGGUUAAUACCUGGGGCACAUGACGGUACCGUAAGAAUAAGCACCGGCUAACUACGUGCCAGCAGCCGCGGUAAUACGUAGGGUGCAAGCGUUAAUCGGAAUUACUGGGCGUAAAGCGUGCGCAGGCGGUGCUGUAAGACAGGCGUGAAAUCCCCGGGCUUAACCUGGGAAUGGCGCUUGUGACUGCAGUGCUGGAGUGUGGCAGAGGGGGAUGGAAUUCCGCGUGUAGCAGUGAAAUGCGUAGAUAUGCGGAGGAACACCGAUGGCGAAGGCAAUCCCCUGGGCCUGCACUGACGCUCAUGCACGAAAGCGUGGGGAGCAAACAGGAUUAGAAACCCGUGUAGUCC
Molecule: ribosomal RNA, 450 nt
Filed under: uncultured bacterium
Lineage: Bacteria
Description: partial 16S ribosomal RNA
Rfam family: Bacterial small subunit ribosomal RNA
Source: RNAcentral